CAACUUGAGAGUUUGAUCCUGGCUCAGAACGAACGCUGGCGGCAGGCCUAAUACAUGCAAGUCGAGCGCGCCCUUCGGGGUGAGCGGCGGACGGGUGAGUAACGCGUGGGAAUAUGCCCUUCUCUAAGGAAUAGCCUCUGGAAACGGAGAGUAAUACCUUAUACGCCCUUUGGGGGAAAGAUUUAUCGGAGAAGGAUUAGCCCGCGUUAGAUUAGGUAGUUGGUGGGGUAAUGGCCUACCAAGCCUACGAUCUAUAGCUGGUUUGAGAGGAUGAUCAGCCACACUGGGACUGAGACACGGCCCAGACUCCUACGGGAGGCAGCAGUAGGGAAUCUUAGACAAUGGGGGCAACCCUGAUCUAGCCAUGCCGCGUGUGUGAUGAAGGCCCUAGGGUCGUAAAGCACUUUCGCCAGAGAUGAUAAUGACAGUAUCUGGUAAAGAAACCCCGGCUAACUCCG
Molecule: ribosomal RNA, 458 nt
Filed under: Planktomarina temperata
Lineage: Bacteria; Pseudomonadati; Pseudomonadota; Alphaproteobacteria; Rhodobacterales; Paracoccaceae
Description: bacterial SSU rRNA
Rfam family: Bacterial small subunit ribosomal RNA
Source: RNAcentral